GUAGCUAAUACCGCAUAACGUCGCAAGACCAAAGAGGGGGACCUUCGGGCCUCUUGCCAUCAGAUGUGCCCAGAUGGGAUUAGCUAGUAGGUGGGGUAACGGCUCACCUAGGCGACGAUCCCUAGCUGGUCUGAGAGGAUGACCAGCCACACUGGAACUGAGAAACGGUCCAGACUCCUACGGGAGGCAGCAGUGGGGAAUAUGUCACAAUGGGCGCAAGCCUGAUGCAGCCAUGUUGCGUGUAUGAAGAAGGCCUUCGGGUUGUAAAGUACUUUCAGCGAGGAGGAAGGCGUUAAGGUUAAUAACCUUGGCGAUUGACGUUACCCGCAGAAGAAGCACCGGCUAACUCCGUGCCAGCAGCCGCGGUAAUACGGAGGGUGCAAGCGUUAAUCGGAAUUACUGGGCGUAAAGCGCACGCAGGCGGUCUGUCAAGUCGGAUGUGAACCAUCC
Molecule: ribosomal RNA, 450 nt
Filed under: uncultured Enterobacter sp.
Lineage: Bacteria; Pseudomonadati; Pseudomonadota; Gammaproteobacteria; Enterobacterales; Enterobacteriaceae
Description: bacterial SSU rRNA
Rfam family: Bacterial small subunit ribosomal RNA
Source: RNAcentral